AUGAAGUCUACCACUCCUAAUCAUCGGAAAUGCUGUGGUUUGGUCCUAUUUCCUCUGGGAUUGCUUCUGAGGAUGCUGUCUUCAUGCCAGCGGCAGGCAGUUGAAUCACAGGCCUUCACAGGACCACUGGACUUCUGGCAGCAAACAGGAAAUCGCUCCUUUCCCUCUGACUUCACUGAGCUGGAAGACUAUACGAGAGUGUUCUUUGUCCCACGAUUGGCGAAUGUUCUUUCGUUAGUGGUUCAGACACCAAUGCCAUUUCUUCAGAGCAUUGUCUACACCUGCAUAGGGUUUGUAAAGUGUCACUUGUCCAGCACAGUGUCAGAGGGCAACAGGCCCUGGUGUGCCCAACACCCAGCAUCUCCAUCAGAUACUGCUUUGACAUCUUCACAGUGA
This 396-nucleotide long non-coding RNA is filed under the name Vulpes vulpes (red fox). RNAcentral's name for it is "lncRNA (ENSVVUG00000014032.1)". The record is from RNAcentral. Lineage: Eukaryota; Metazoa; Chordata; Mammalia; Carnivora; Canidae.